Molecule: ribosomal RNA, 653 nt
Filed under: Malacoceros fuliginosus
Lineage: Eukaryota; Metazoa; Annelida; Polychaeta; Spionida; Spionidae
Description: LSU rRNA
Rfam family: Eukaryotic large subunit ribosomal RNA
Source: RNAcentral
CUUGAAACACGGACCAAGGAGUCUGACAUGUGCGCAAGUCAUGGGGUCUUACGAAACCUAAAGGCGCAAUAAAAGUGAAGGCCUUCCUCUCGGAGGGCUGAGGUGUGAUCUGGCUGGCUUCGGCCGCUAAGGCUGGCGCAACACCGGCCCGUCCCGUGGUCUUUGGACCUGGGGCGGCGCUAGAGCGUGCAUGUCAGGACCCGAAAGAUGGUGACCUAUGCCUGAGGAGGUCGAAGCCAGAGGAAACUCUGGUGGAGGACCGUAGCGAUUCUGACGUGCAAAUCGAUCGUCGCACUUGGGUAUAGGGGCGAAAGACUAAUCGAACCGUCUAGUAGCUGGUUCCCUCCGAAGUUUCCCUCAGGAUAGCUGGCGCUCGCUGAAGCAGUUUUAUCCGGUAAAGCGAAUGAUUAGAGGCCUUGGGGACGAAACGUCUUCAACCUAUUCUCAAACUUUAAAUGGGUAAGACGUCGGACUCGCCUAGGCGGAGCCCGGCAGUGAAUGCUGAGUGCCCAGUGGGCCACUUUUGGUAAGCAGAACUGGCGCUGUGGGAUGAACCAAACGUCUGGUUAAGGUGCCCAACGGGGAAGCUCAUCAGACCCCAUAAAAGGUGUUGGUUGGUAUAGACAGCAGGACGGUGGCCAUGGAAGUCGGCA